Molecule: non-coding RNA, 29 nt
Filed under: Rattus norvegicus (Norway rat)
Lineage: Eukaryota; Metazoa; Chordata; Mammalia; Rodentia; Muridae
Source: RNAcentral
UUCAAGAGCCUUGGUUUAGGAAUCUUGAG